UCGUAACAAGGUUUCCGUAGGUGAACCUGCGGAAGGAUCAUUACCGAGUGCGGGCUGCCUCCGGGCGCCCAACCUCCCACCCGUGACUACCUAACACUGUUGCUUCGGCGGGGAGCCCUCUCGGGGGCGAGCCGCCGGGGACUACUGAACUUCAUGCCUGAGAGUGAUGCAGUCUGAGUCUGAAUAUAAAAUCAGUCAAAACUUUCAACAAUGGAUCUCUUGGUUCCGGCAUCGAUGAAGAACGCAGCGAACUGCGAUAAGUAAUGUGAAUUGCAGAAUUCAGUGAAUCAUCGAGUCUUUGAACGCACAUUGCGCCCCCUGGCAUUCCGGGGGGCAUGCCUGUCCGAGCGUCAUUGCUGCCCAUCAAGCCCGGCUUGUGUGUUGGGUCGUCGUCCCCCCCGGGGGACGGGCCCGAAAGGCAGCGGCGGCACCGUGUCCGGUCCUCGAGCGUAUGGGGCUUUGUCACCCGCUCGAUUAGGGCCGGCCGGGCGCCAGCCGACGUCUCCAACCAUUUUCUUCAGGUUGACCUCGGAUCAGGUAGGGAUACCCGCUGAACUUAAGCAUAUCAAUAAGCGGAGGAAAAGAAACCAACCGGGAUUGCCCCAGUAACGGCGAGUGAAGCGGCAAGAGCUCAAAUUUGAAAUCUGGCCCCUCCGGGGUCCGAGUUGUAAUUUGCAGAGGAUGCUUCGGGUGCGGCCCCUGUCUAAGUGCCCUGGAACGGGCCGUCAGAGAGGGUGAGAAUCCCGUCUUGGGCAGGGUGCCCGUGCCCGUGUGAAGCUCCUUCGACGAGUCGAGUUGUUUGGGAAUGCAGCUCUA
RNAcentral lists this unclassified non-coding RNA (816 nucleotides) under Aspergillus jensenii. RNAcentral describes it as "sequence contains ITS1, 5.8S rRNA gene, ITS2". The stretch from base 524 to 816 matches the Rfam family "Eukaryotic large subunit ribosomal RNA", at positions 1 to 290 of the family's 3401-position model. Lineage: Eukaryota; Fungi; Ascomycota; Eurotiomycetes; Eurotiales; Aspergillaceae. The record is from RNAcentral.